This 731-nucleotide ribosomal RNA is filed under the name uncultured archaeon. Its description in RNAcentral is "bacterial SSU rRNA". It matches the Rfam family "Archaeal small subunit ribosomal RNA", at positions 39 to 772 of the family's 1478-position model. The record is from RNAcentral.
UUCGAUUAGCCAUGCGAGUUAAUGUUCUUCGUGAACAUAGCAGACUGCUCAGUAACACGUGGAUAACCUGCCCUUAGGACUGGCAUAACCCCGGGAAACUGGGGAUAAGUCCGGAUAGAUCAUAAAUGCUGGAAUGCUUUAUGAUUGAAAGGUUUCGACCGCCUUAGGAUGGAUCUGCGGCCUAUCAGGUUGUAGUGGGUGUAAUGUACCUACUAGCCUACGACGGGUACGGGUUGUGGAAGCAAGAGCCCGGAGAUGGAUUCUGAGACAUGAAUCCAGGCCCUACGGGGCGCAGCAGGCGCGAAAACUUUACAAUGCGGGAAACCGUGAUAAGGGAACACUGAGUGCUAGCAUUUAUGUUAGCUGUCCACAUGUGUAAAUAGCAUGUGAUAGCAAGGGCUGGGCAAGACCGGUGCCAGCCGCCGCGGUAACACCGGCAGCCCGAGUGGUGAUCACUAUUAUUGGGUCUAAAGGGUCCGUAGCCGGUUUAAUCAGUCUUCUGGGAAAUCUAAUCGCUUAACUAUUAGGCUUCCAGGGGAUACUGUUAGACUUGGGACCGGGAGAGGUAAGAGGUACUGCAGGGGUAGGAGUGAAAUCUUGUAAUCCCUGUGAGACCACCAGUGGCGAAGGCGUCUUACCAGAACGGGUCCGACGGUGAGGGACGAAAGCUGGGGGCACGAACCGGAUUAGAUACCCGGGUAGUCCCAGCUGUAAAACGAUGCUCGUUAGGU